RNAcentral lists this long non-coding RNA (1202 nucleotides) under Linum usitatissimum (flax). RNAcentral describes it as "long non-coding RNA (LUSI_LNC007122)". Lineage: Eukaryota; Viridiplantae; Streptophyta; Magnoliopsida; Malpighiales; Linaceae. The record is from RNAcentral.
AGAACCGGCCUAUAAAAGAACAAAACGGAUAAGGUUAGUGAGGUAAUUUUACUAUUCAAUUGUCCCAAAAAUUUAGCUAUAAAAGGGAAUAGUCUUAGGGAUAUUAGGAGUAGAUAGGAGGCAUUCUGAAAAAAUUUACAUAGAGUUGUAGUUAGUAAAUCAGCAAAAAAUCCCAAAGUUACUGAAAAUAAUAAAAAAAAGACAUGAAAGAGUGACAAAAUUAGUUACUAAUCCAAACUCUCCCUCAAACCUCACCACUCACCAUCAGUCUCGGUCUCACCCGAAUCAGACACCCUACUCCUGAAAUCAGUCAAACCUCAUCCUCACCCUUCAAUCCCACCCUUACCACUCUCGAGACCCAACACGACACUCGAUUAUAUUUAAAUCCACCAAAGUCCCCAACAUAAGUCUCACCAUUUCAUUCUAGGAGCACUCAUCAUCGCACUACCUCGCAAGGAAAAAGGAGUCACCCAUUAAUGUCCGUCCGAAACACUAACGCACAUAUCAAAUGUGGCAAGACCUCUGGUUGAUUAGACCACCAUCUUCUUUUUUCUAUUCAAAAUCCACCAAACCCCAGAUCCAGGAAGCCCAUCUCAUCUCCGAGAAAUCAACUGUCCUCCGUAGGCCCAAAGAUUUCCUGUCAAUAGUAACUAGGACGAAGAGAGACGGGAAUUAGAAAUCAGGUGUAGGUUUAAAACCGAGAAAAAUCAAAGGGAUAUAGAUAGAUUUACCUAAGCCUCUAAUGAUCGAGCUGCUGUUGGUAACGCACCAAGGAAAUCUUCCUGGGUUGUGGGCCUCAAGGGGGCGUCGAGAAGAGGUAAAACAUGAGUUAAGCAUCAGGGACAUACCGUUGCUAAGAAUGGGUCUGAUUAACUACUCCAAUGUCCUCGGCCUUGGAGAGUAAGAGUGGCUGAGCAUUGAACCCCAUGAACCGUCAAGAUCCGGAGAAGAAAAGGCAACGUCUCCUCUGGUCGAUCAAGUACUAAUCGGAGUAGUCCUUGGGGCCUUCGGAUUGAGGGCAGAGGGAGAUUUCCGAGGAGAAGUGGCGGUGACCUAGGUGUAGAUCGAGAUGAAGGAGAUAAGGUUUUGAGAUAGUGUCGAUGGUUGAGAAAUAGGGAGAGAGGAAGCAAAAUAACCCUAAGGGUUAUUGACUUAUCGAACGACAUUUGGGGCGAAUCUGUGUUUCGUCUAAUAAAUCACCA